Molecule: small RNA, 26 nt
Filed under: Plasmodium falciparum 3D7
Lineage: Eukaryota; Apicomplexa; Aconoidasida; Haemosporida; Plasmodiidae
Description: Pfa-rasR7426
Source: RNAcentral
UCGCAUUUAUCUUUACAUUGCAUUCG